Molecule: ribosomal RNA, 253 nt
Filed under: uncultured bacterium
Lineage: Bacteria
Description: partial 16S ribosomal RNA
Rfam family: Bacterial small subunit ribosomal RNA
Source: RNAcentral
UACGAAGGGGGCUAGCGUUGCUCGGAAUCACUGGGCGUAAAGGGUGCGUAGGCGGGUCUUUAAGUUGGGGGUGAAAUCCCGGGGCUCAACCUCGGAAUUGCCUUCAAAACUGGAUAUCUUGAGUUCGGGAGAGGUGAGUGGAACUCCGAGUGUAGAGGUGAAAUUCGUAGAUAUUCGGAAGAACACCAGUGGCGAAGGCGACUCACUGGCCCGAUACUGACGCUGAGGCGCGAAAGCGUGGGGAGCAAACAGG